RNAcentral lists this ribosomal RNA (661 nucleotides) under uncultured archaeon. Its description in RNAcentral is "bacterial SSU rRNA". It matches the Rfam family "Archaeal small subunit ribosomal RNA", at positions 82 to 727 of the family's 1478-position model. The record is from RNAcentral.
CAUACAGCUCAGUAACACGUGGCUAAUCUGCCCUUGGGACGAGAACAACCCCGGGAAACUGGGGCUAACUCUCGAUAGGCGAAGAACACUGGAAUGUGUCUUCACCCAAAAAGCUUCACGUUAUCCUCGUGAAGUCGCCCAAGGAUGAGGCCGCGACCGAUCAGGUUGUUGGUGAGGUAAUGGCCCACCAAACCUAUAACCGGUGCGGGCCGUGAGAGCGGGAGCCCGGAGAUGGGCACUGAGACAAGGGCCCAGGUCCUACGGGGCGCAGCAGUCGCGAAACCUUUGCAAUACACGCAAGUGUGACAGGGUCAUCCCGAGUGCCGACCGCUGAGGUUGGCUUUUACCCAGUCUAGAAAGCUGGGGGAAUAAGGAGAGGGCAAGUCUGGUGUCAGCCGCCGCGGUAAUACCAGCUCUCCGAGUGGUGUGGACGUUUAUUGGGCCUAAAGCAUCCGUAGCUGGCUGAACAAGUCCCCUGUUAAACCCACCGAUUUAAUCGUUGGUCUGCGGGGGAUACUGCUCGGCUAGGGGACGAGAGAGGCAGACCGGAUUCCCGGGGUAAGGGGUGAAUCCUAAUAUCCCGGAAAAACCACAUGUGGCAAAAGCUGUCUGCCAAAACGCGCCCAAACGGUGAUGGAUUAAAUCUUGGGGAACCAAACCG